This 254-nucleotide ribosomal RNA is filed under the name uncultured bacterium. RNAcentral's name for it is "partial 16S ribosomal RNA". It matches the Rfam family "Bacterial small subunit ribosomal RNA", at positions 524 to 776 of the family's 1533-position model. The record is from RNAcentral.
UACGAGUGGCUCAAGCGUUAUCCGGAAUUAUUGGGCGUAAAGGAUGUGUAGGUGGUUAUAUUAGUCGAAUGUCUAACCUUCCGGGCUUUACCUGGAUUCAGCAUUCGAAACGGUAUUACUAGAGUAUGUUAGGGGUGAGCGGAACUCAUAGUGUAGGGGUGAAAUCCGUUGAUAUUAUGGGGAACACCAAAAGCGAAGGCAGCUCACUGGGACAUUACUGACACUGAAACAUGAAAGCGUGGGUAGCGAAUGGG